RNAcentral lists this long non-coding RNA (2051 nucleotides) under Citrus sinensis (sweet orange). RNAcentral's name for it is "long non-coding RNA (CSIN_LNC000757)". The record is from RNAcentral. Lineage: Eukaryota; Viridiplantae; Streptophyta; Magnoliopsida; Sapindales; Rutaceae.
CGUGAGAGAGAAGGGGUAAGAGAGAAAUUGACCCGUUUAGCCGGAUCCGAGCCGCAUCCUUGACCCGGCUCCAGCUGUUGAUUCCGGCCACCUCACCGGCCGAGCUUGGUACCGAUUUGAAGCUUGAGCGACUCCGGUCGCUGACAUCGUCACCGGAAAGUAGCCAGCACGCCGGCGAUCGAAGCUUGAAAGACCGCGGCUCAACCCGUUUUCGGCACCGUCAAUCUCAUCGGAAUUAGGUUGCACCACCGGUUGGGUUCGACUCCUCACGUCGCUAGCUUUCAUUUCCGACCAACCCCGCCACCUGAAACCUCCGUUUUGGCCGUGAACGACCGCCGGAAAGCUCACGGAUUUGGGAGCAUGAUCCGCCGCCAUCACCGCGCGUGUAAGGUCACCGCCGGCACCUUUGGACUCACCGAGGUCUGAAAUAUCAGACCUAAGCUUCCCGUCGUCGUUGACUAAGUCUGGUCACCGUUGACCGGCAGGGUCAAUUCGGUAAUUUUACAAGACUUUGGGGUAAAUUUGUAAUUUGAAGAAAUGAUGGAUAAAUUGGUAAUUUCAUAUUAGGGCAGUGAGGUAAUUUAAGAUUUUGGGGGUAAUUCAGUAAUUUACGUUGUUAAGGACAUUUUGGUAAAUUUACACUCCGAGGGUAAUUUCGUAAUUUCUUACAUUGUGGUUAUUUUUAUAAUCUGAAUUGAGGUUAGCUUGGUAAUUUAAGAUUACGAGGAUAAUUGGGUAAGUAUUGAUGUCGGGGACAUUUUGGUAAUUUUGGCAUGCAUGGGUAUUUUGGUAAUUUGAGGCAUACAAGAAUAGUUGAUUAUGAAUGAAUAUUUGUUUCGAGCUCUAAUGCGUAAUAUUAGUUGUAUUUCACAUUUACGGAAAAAUAAUUAUGUCGUUUACUUGAUUACAAGGACCUGCGAACAAGAAUCAACUCGUGGACACUGUUGAUACCGAGUUUGAACAUCGUCAUUAUGAGUGGAAUAUACAAAACUUAUUUUCAUAGUAUAUUCUGAUUUUACCAUACAGUACAACAUAUUUUGAUAAUAAGUAUUUGAUGCUUCGAUUUAAUGAUUUUUUAGAAAAUUGAUUUUUUUUUAUCUCCGUGCUGAUAUUUAUUGUUAUUAAGAAUGAGUUUGAUUAAUGAUUUUAUUGUCGUUUUUGAGUAAAUGCAUGAUAUUAGAAUUCAGUGGAUUUGAGAUAUGUUAAAUAAAAAGGAAAUGUGAUUAUAUGUUUAUGUACAUGUGUAUAAAAAGUUGUUUGGAAAAUCAUUGGACAGUACCUUUCUCCUUUAGAUACAGAGAUACAAAUUAUAUGAGAUGAAUCACGGAUUUGGGAGCAUGAUCCGCCGCCAUCACCGCGCGUGUAAGGUCACCGCCGGCACCUUUGGACUCACCGAGGUCUGAAAUAUCAGACCUAAGCUUCCCGUCGUCGUUGACUAAGUCUGGUCACCGUUGACCGGCAGGGUCAAUUCGGUAAUUUUACAAGACUUUGGGGUAAAUUUGUAAUUUGAAGAAAUGAUGGAUAAAUUGGUAAUUUCAUAUUAGGGCAGUGAGGUAAUUUAAGAUUUUGGGGGUAAUUCAGUAAUUUACGUUGUUAAGGACAUUUUGGUAAAUUUACACUCCGAGGGUAAUUUCGUAAUUUCUUACAUUGUGGUUAUUUUUAUAAUCUGAAUUGAGGUUAGCUUGGUAAUUUAAGAUUACGAGGAUAAUUGGGUAAGUAUUGAUGUCGGGGACAUUUUGGUAAUUUUGGCAUGCAUGGGUAUUUUGGUAAUUUGAGGCAUACAAGAAUAGUUGAUUAUGAAUGAAUAUUUGUUUCGAGCUCUAAUGCGUAAUAUUAGUUGUAUUUCACAUUUACGGAAAAAUAAUUAUGUCGUUUACUUGAUUACAAGGACCUGCGAACAAGAAUCAACUCGUGGACACUGUUGAUACCGAGUUUGAACAUCGUCAUUAUGAGUGGAAUAUACAAAACUUAUUUUCAUAGUAUAUUCUGAUUUUACCAUACAGUACAACAUAUUUUGAUAAUAAGUAUUUGAUGCUUCGAUUUAAUGAUUU